This 378-nucleotide long non-coding RNA is filed under the name Homo sapiens (human). RNAcentral's name for it is "non-protein coding LINC02580:13". Lineage: Eukaryota; Metazoa; Chordata; Mammalia; Primates; Hominidae. The record is from RNAcentral.
GCCCCAAGUGGAGGCAGCAGCAGCAGCAGGAGGGAGGUGUCGGGGCAGUGGGGCCGCAGGGCCAGUCCUCAGGUUGGUUACUCAGUUGUCCUCCCUGGUCUGUCCUCAAGGCGUGAUUUGGGCUGGGGUUCUGGCUGCCGUCCAGCCCUCCCUGGUUGCUGUGAGCCUGGCUCUCUAGCCAGCCCUAGAAGUCCGUGAGUUAGUUCUCUGUUGCUUGCAACCAAGAACCCUGACAAGAAAGAAAACUGGCUCAGAGAGGCUGAGUAACCUGCUCAAGAUGACACAGCUUGUGGGUGGCUGAGUUGGCCUUCCAACCCAGAUUCCUGUCAUGUUCCUCAAGCCGACAGCACAUUCCUCCACUUGAAUGCUACAUCUUAG